This 312-nucleotide long non-coding RNA is filed under the name Solanum tuberosum (potato). RNAcentral's name for it is "long non-coding RNA (STUB_LNC003839)". The record is from RNAcentral. Lineage: Eukaryota; Viridiplantae; Streptophyta; Magnoliopsida; Solanales; Solanaceae.
CCGUUGUGCAUGAAAGGUCUUCGUGAAGCCUAACUCCCUGCCUUCUUCUCAUGAGUUUUCUUCAACUUUUACGCUUCCAACUUUAUAAUUUUUCCAUCCAAUUUGCUCAUCGUGUUCGUUGAUCACUUCUUUAAGCUCAUUUACUUGAAAUUCAUCAAAUCAAGUUAGUUUAAGGCAAUUAAAUUAUCCUUAAGAAAGCAUAAAUAAAGUAUUAGAAAAUGUGCAAAUAGAUUAGCCACCUUAUCACCUCCAUGUCCACAUCUUAGUCUUCUUGUGGUUAAAAGGAGGGUAGAGUUAGGUGGCAGAGAGAGU